RNAcentral lists this ribosomal RNA (435 nucleotides) under uncultured fungus. RNAcentral's name for it is "SSU rRNA". It matches the Rfam family "Eukaryotic small subunit ribosomal RNA", at positions 403 to 837 of the family's 1831-position model. The record is from RNAcentral. Lineage: Eukaryota; Fungi.
ACGGCCUACUCUAUCAAUCCAAGGAAGGCAGCAGGCGCGCAAAUUUACCCAAUCCCGACACGGGGAGGUAGUGACAAUAAAUACUGAUACAGGGCUCUUUUGGGUCUUGUAAUUGGAAUGAGUACAAUUUAAAUCCCUUAACGAGGAACAAUUGGAGGGCAAGUCUGGUGCCAGCAGCCGCGGUAAUUCCAGCUCCAAUAGCGUAUAUUAAAGUUGUUGCAGUUAAAAGGCUCGUAGUUGAACCUUGGGCCUGGCUGGCCGGUCCGCCUCACCGCGUGCACUGGUCCGGCCGGGCCUUUCCUUCUGGGGAGCCGCAUGCCCUUCACUGGGUGUGUCGGGGAACCAGGACUUUUACUUUGAACGCAAUUAGAGUGUUCAAAGCAGGCCUAUGCUCGAAUACAUUAGCUUGGAAUAAUAGAAUAAGACGUGUGGUUC